CAACUACUAGGGGACAGUUAUACAGUGGUUAUACAUGGUGGUUGCAGUGUUUGGUUUCAUAACAACCAACAAAACUCAUCUACAAGUCACUCUGUUCUCUGUAAUUAUUAAUUAUUUGAACAUUUAAUUUUUGUGUGAAAAGAAACUAACAUACACUUGAUAUUACAGUUGAGUCUUUUAGACAUUCAUAACCAGAAGUACUUGUCUGUAAUUUGAUGGCACGCAACAAAAUACUAGCUGUCAUUGGAAGAUUCUAAGUUAAUAAAAAAAAUUGAAACCGCCUGAUUAAAAGUAGGUACCCUUAUUUAUCAAUAUCUAUAAUUAUUCCUAUAUGGUAACAAUUAUAUUUUAUUUAGAUCUAACUGUUCAAAUGGUCCUGUUACUAUGAGUAAAUAGCAUUCUGAUUGUGCUGGGGAAAUUAAAAACAAUGCAUUAAUAAAAUAAAUAACAAAUUUACAAAUUUAUUCAGGG
Molecule: long non-coding RNA, 471 nt
Filed under: Cinara cedri
Lineage: Eukaryota; Metazoa; Arthropoda; Insecta; Hemiptera; Aphididae
Source: RNAcentral